RNAcentral lists this ribosomal RNA (497 nucleotides) under uncultured bacterium. Its description in RNAcentral is "partial 16S ribosomal RNA". It matches the Rfam family "Bacterial small subunit ribosomal RNA", at positions 28 to 507 of the family's 1533-position model. The record is from RNAcentral.
GAUGAACGCUGGCGGCGUGCCUAAUACAUGCAAGUCGAGCGAACGGACGCGAAGCUUGCUUUUCUGACGUUAGCGGCGGACGGGUGAGUAACACGUGGAUAACCUACCUAUAAUACUGGGAUAACUUCGGGAAACCGGAUCUUAUACCGGAUAAUCUUUUGAACCGCAUGGUUCAAAAGUGAAAGACGGCGUUGCUGGCACUUAUAGCUGCAUCCCCGCUUCAUUAGCUAGUUGGGAGGGUAACGGCUUACCAAGGCAACGAGGCCUAGCCGACCUGAGAGGGUGAUCGGCCGCACUGGAACUGAGACACGGUCCAGACUACUACGGGAGGCAGCAGAAGGGAACCGUCGGCAAUGGGCGAAAGCCUGACGGAGCAACGCCGCGUGAGUGAUGGAGGUCUUCGGAUCGUAAAACUCUGUUAUUGGGGAAGAACAGAUGUGGAAGGAACUGUGCACAGCUUGACGGUACCUGAUCAGAAAGCCACGGCUAACUACGUG